UUUUCUGUGUUGGUGUUGUGUACUCAGGUGAAUAUGAUGUUUGUGAUGUUAGUCAGAGUACAUCAUAUUCACCUGAGUACACAACACCAACACAGAAAA
Paramuricea clavata is the source of this 99-nucleotide non-coding RNA. The record is from the annotation of a GenBank genome assembly. Lineage: Eukaryota; Metazoa; Cnidaria; Anthozoa; Malacalcyonacea; Plexauridae.